This 254-nucleotide ribosomal RNA is filed under the name uncultured bacterium. RNAcentral describes it as "partial 16S ribosomal RNA". It matches the Rfam family "Bacterial small subunit ribosomal RNA", at positions 524 to 776 of the family's 1533-position model. The record is from RNAcentral.
UACGUAGGGGGGCAAGCGUUGUCCGGAUUUAUUGGGCGUAAAGAGCUCGUAGGCGGUUCCGUAAGUCGGGUGUGAAAAAUCUGGGCUCAACCCAGUGGAGCACCCGAUACUGCGGUGACUCGAGUCCGGUAGGGGAGUGUGGAAUUCCUGGUGUAGCGGUGAAAUGCGCAGAUAUCAGGAGGAACACCGACGGCGAAGGCAGCACUCUGGGCCGGUACUGACGCUGAGGAGCGAAAGCAUGGGGAGCGAACAGG